AUAAUCCUGGUGCUACCUUGGCCUUGACCUUGUGAGCAAAACAUACCCAGCACAGAAUUUGUCACAAUAAAUGUAAAAAGAAAAAGAAAGUAUAGAAGUUGUUGGUGUUCUGACGAUGGUUGUCUAACACAUUAGUACGGUAGUCAAAUGGUGUUCUUUGAUUUAACUGAAGCUGAGGUACAAUUAUAUAAAAGAUGUCAGGAUUUGUCGUUUGUCGUGCGAAUGAGAUACUGGUCGUGUCAGGCUGUUUUAAAUCUGAGCCAAGCAUUGUGACAGAUGGAUCAACUUUUGUUUUACCAGGACUUCAAAAAGUACAGAGAUUGUCCACCAGUAAUUUCACCAUUGUAGUAGAACUCAAGAAUCAGCCAACAGCCGAACAAACAAUAUCAAUAAACCUGAAAGCAGGAGCAGUGAUGAAAAUAAAUUCAAAGAAUGAUGAGAUGGUGCAAUACGCAGUAGCAAAAUUUUUGUCAAAAACUGAAGAUGAAAUGAAAGAAACACUAAAAGAAACUAUUGAGGCAACUUUUGGUAGUGUUAUUGGACUGAUGAGUGCAGAGGAUAUAAUGUUUGAUAAAAGAAAAUUUUCCAAAAGAGCAUAUGAAGCUCUUUCUGCUGAGUGUGUUCUGAUGGGUGUAUCAGUUAUAAGUAUUAAUGUUCUUGAAGUUUCUGAUGACCAUGGAUUUUAUCACAAUUUAAGGAUCGAUAGAAUACAAAAAGCUAGAAGUGAGCAGGAAGUCUUAGGGAAUCACGAUUCGUUUGUUGCCAGAUUUGAUGAAAAAAGAAAAGAAUUCGAAGCUAACAAAAGUAAAACAUCAUCUCCAGAAAAAAAGAAUCUACAUGGAAUAGAGUUAGAAUUUUCUAGUGCAACCAAAGAUUCAGGCUCAUCAAAAGAAAAGGAAACAGAAAACCGAGUGGAAACAACAUACACAUUUUCACAAACGGACAAUACAGGAGAUUUGUACAAAGGUUAUGAUUGGAGUGCAGCUGACAAUAAAUAUGUGUGAAAAUAAGAUUCUUGCUUGCCAUAUAAGUAUCCAAGAAAUCUGAUUAAACCUGUCAAGUAGAUAUACAUUUUCUUGUAGUACUAUUUUGUAGAUACAAAUCUAUGGAUAAGAGCUUUAGUCAGCUGUGUGAAGAGGGGACUGCCAUAUAGACGUUUGUCAAUGCAUUAAAUUUUGUACAGGAUUUGUAAAGCGGUGGACACACUAGUGGAAUGAUUCGCCCAAAUCGUUCAGCCUAAUCCAUUGGCGCAGAAACGCAGCCGAAUGAGUGGACACACUUGGCAAAUCCUUCGGUUGAUUCACCAGGGGAUUGCGCCAUCUUUCACGUCACAGGAUUAAACAUGACAGUGACCAUGUCUUCAAACAAUCACUUAACUUCUCGAUAUGAGUGGUGAUUGGCUAAUGAAUUCUACAAUCGGGCGAAUGCUUCGGCGAAGCGAACAUACUAGGCAAAAAUAUUGAACAUAAUUCGGCCGAAUAGAAAUUCAGCUGAAUGUCAGUGAAUACACUAAGACGACUGUCGGCGUCAAUUGAUUAGGUGGAAUUAUUCGGCUGAAUCAUUCGGCUAGUGUGUCCACCGCUUUACGUAAAUUUCUUUGUACUAGCUUCUAUUUUAGAUUAAUCUUUGUGCAUGAUCAAUCUGAUUAAAACACAGAUCCUAUUUCGUUUUUACACGUUUUAUUUAUAUGUCAGAUUAAAGUAUAUUUUUAUACUUAAACUAUAUGGUCACGAUUUAUUUAUAUUUUAGAUUAAGCUAUAUACAUGAUUUUUAUUUUAAAGUUAAUCUUUGUACAUGCAAAUGAUUUUUUAUCAUAACUUGAACUGUGUUAUUUGUUGUAAAUUAAUUUAACCCACAAAUAUGUUUAUGUGCUAUUUUUCAAUCAUAUACAUGCUCAUAAUAAAAUGAAUCUCUA
Patella vulgata (common limpet) is the source of this 1915-nucleotide long non-coding RNA. RefSeq lists it as uncharacterized. The record is from RefSeq and is a predicted model, not a curated record. Lineage: Eukaryota; Metazoa; Mollusca; Gastropoda; Patellidae. The transcript is spliced from 6 exons.